This 460-nucleotide ribosomal RNA is filed under the name uncultured bacterium. RNAcentral's name for it is "partial 16S ribosomal RNA". It matches the Rfam family "Bacterial small subunit ribosomal RNA", at positions 338 to 795 of the family's 1533-position model. The record is from RNAcentral.
CCUACGGGAGGCAGCAGUGAGGAAUAUUGGUCAAUGGACGCAAGUCUCAACCAGCCACGCCGCGUGCAGGAAGACGGCUCUCUGAGUUGUAAACUGCGUUUGUACGAGGGUAAACGCAGAUACGCGUAUCUGUCUGAAAGUAUCGUACGUAUAAGGAUCGGCUAACGCCGGGCCAGCCGCGGCGGUAAUACGGAGGAUUCGAGCGUUAUCCGGAUUUAUUGGGUUGAACGGAUGCGUAGGCUGUCGGGUAAGUUAGAGGUGAAAUCCCGAGGCUCAACUUCGGAAUUGCCUCUGAUACUGUUCGGCUAGAGAGUAGGUGCGGUAGGCGGAAUGCAUGGUGUAGCGGUGAAAUGCGUAGAGAUCAUACAGAACACCGAUUGCGAAGGCAGCUUACCGAGCUACUUCUGACGUUGAGGCACGAAAGCGUGGGGAGCAAACAGGAUUAGAUACCCUAGUAGUC